AAUGCGAACGCUUCAUUUCUGGUGAAAAAAAAGAUGCCUCAGAAUUCUUCGAGUUGCUAUAUAUACCAAACCACUUUGCAUCGGACUCAUUGAAGAUAGACGCUGCAUCUCAGCAUCUCGUGUUCAGAAUCAAAGAAGCUGCUCGCCUGACUCCACUAUGGCCAAACUGUCUGGAAUCCUUCUCCAACUGGCUUUGAGCGCUGUCUUCGCUCUUGGGCUUCUCCAGAUGGCUGUAGCCGAUGACGAAAUGGCACGGGACCGCCCUCAUGGACGCUCCGACAACGUGGAGUAACACCCUGUGAAUGCCCUGCAAUACGGACGUGUCAGCCAGGUGUCUUUACGUUGCAGGAUGAAUUUCCAGGACAUAUUAUUACUUACAGAAGUGGACAAUAACUAAAUUGAUGCUUCACCAAUAAAAAUUUUAGCAUAUCUGCCUUAAA
Molecule: long non-coding RNA, 440 nt
Organism: Dermacentor albipictus
Lineage: Eukaryota; Metazoa; Arthropoda; Arachnida; Ixodida; Ixodidae
Source: RefSeq, a predicted model, not a curated record